AUGCGGUUCUUUCCUAUUAAUCAUAUGCAAAAUGGAGCCGGCGACCAGCCCUUCUUCCUCACCCUCAGCCUUGAAACCACUGUUGACGCCUCCAAGAGCAGUCGGGCAUCGGCGUCGACGCCGGUAAGGCAACAUGCGUUGCAACAUGCAACCAAAUCAAAUGGAGUGUGGACAAAGUUAUAUAUGGACAAAGUUAUAUAUCAAGCAAAUUGGAUGAAGGUGUGUGGACAAAGUUAUAUAUCUAAUACUCAACCAUGUAGUUUACUAUUAUGCAGUGUGAAAAACGGUGUACAUCAGUUAUCUGGGACUAAUACUAUGGCCUGA
RNAcentral lists this ribosomal RNA (324 nucleotides) under Triticum aestivum (bread wheat). RNAcentral describes it as "partial small subunit ribosomal RNA". The record is from RNAcentral. Lineage: Eukaryota; Viridiplantae; Streptophyta; Magnoliopsida; Poales; Poaceae.